This 866-nucleotide long non-coding RNA is filed under the name Androctonus crassicauda. The record is from RNAcentral. Lineage: Eukaryota; Metazoa; Arthropoda; Arachnida; Scorpiones; Buthidae.
CGUGUACGUUAUGAAAUUGAACACUUUUCUAGAAUCGAAUGAAAUUAUAAUUUGUUUACUUCUAGAUAUCUACAGUUUAAUUCAUUCAUUAUUUAGAAGACUAUUAAUUCCAGAAAUUGUAAAUUUCUAGAAUUAAUGGUCUCCUAAAUGAACUUAGGGAGGUUAUUUGAUGAUUAAGACGUCGGAACAGUGAGAGUUUCUCGGAACUCGAUUAUAACUCAAUUUUCAAGCUAUUUUAUUAUGCUAAUUACCUAAUUACCGAAAGAAUGCUAUUAUAACAACAAAGAACAGGAACUAAAUCAAGACUUUUCUUAAUAUUCAUAGCUUGUAUUCAAGUUACAAACGUUGGAAUCAUAUUUUAUUCGAAAAUACGCUUAAUGCGUUAUUAGUUUAAAAAAAGAAAAAAAAAUGAACAAUGGUAAGGAAGGUCACAAUUUCAAACCAGGAAUCGUAUAAAUGGAUAGAUUCACGUCAAAUGUUCUAUUCAAAAAACAAUGUUUACACAUGCUCGAUCUGCGAAGAAAGCAAGUAUUGUGUGUUUGUGACCAAGCUGCACUGUGGGCCCAUUGGUUGCGCCAAGCGGAGGGGUGGAGCGCGAUGCAGCUGAACAAAUAUACCACAGAAAGCUUCCCUGAUCACGAUUGGGUGCAUCGAAUAGUUUCCGGAGCAUAAUGAUGGUUGCCUGUUGUAUAACUCGGCUAUUGUUCGUAUUGGAUUCAUGCAUGGGAAGAAAACAACAAUAGAAACUUCGCUUACAAACCUAUAUACAAGGUCUAGCGUAAUUGCGCGAUUUGCUAUUUUUGAAUAAGUAAAUUCGAAUGAUAGUAGAUCAAAUGACUGUACCGGUGUAUCAUUGUCAAAGCGUC